This 348-nucleotide long non-coding RNA is filed under the name Nicotiana benthamiana. RNAcentral describes it as "long non-coding RNA (NBEN_LNC022280)". Lineage: Eukaryota; Viridiplantae; Streptophyta; Magnoliopsida; Solanales; Solanaceae. The record is from RNAcentral.
CAGAGCGUCGAUGCGGGACAACUUGGAAAAAUCAGUGCUUUUUUGAGAUUGGAUCCGCGCAGAAAGAAGGAACUUUGGCCUAGCUGAAUCACAACCAGAGAUAGAUGAGUGCUAUGAAGAAAUGAUAGCAGAACUUGCUCAGGAAGCAACUUCACCCGGAAGUGGUGAUGAACAAGCUUCAUUUCCACCAUCGCCCAUACAACCACCUCCAAACCUUGAAGGUUUUAUGAGAUUUGUUAGAAAUAAUGCAUAAAUUAUUAUGUAACUUAUACAUUGACACGUCUUCUUUUAAUUUUUUUCCUUUUAAUAGUGGUAUUAGUACCAUGUUGUGCUCAUUCCAUUGGGGGA